AUACGUAGGGUGCGAGCGUUAAUCGGAAUUACUGGGCGUAAAGCGUGCGCAGGCGGUUUUUUAAGACAGUGGUGAAAUCCCCGGGCUCAACCUGGGAACUGCCAUUGUGACUGCAAGGCUGGAGUGCGGCAGAGGGGGAUGGAAUUCCGCGUGUAGCAGUGAAAUGCGUAGAUAUGCGGAGGAACACCGAUGGCGAAGGCAAUCCCCUGGGCCUGCACUGACGCUCAUGCACGAAAGCGCGGGGAGCAAACAGGAUUAGAUACCCUGGUAGUCCACGCCCUAAACGAUGUCAACUGGUUGUUGGGAAUUUAUUUUCUCAGUAACGAAGCUAACGCGUGAAGUUGACCGCCUGGGGAGUACGGCCGCAAGGUUAAAACUCAAAUGAAUUGACGGGG
RNAcentral lists this ribosomal RNA (395 nucleotides) under uncultured bacterium. RNAcentral describes it as "partial 16S ribosomal RNA". It matches the Rfam family "Bacterial small subunit ribosomal RNA", at positions 523 to 918 of the family's 1533-position model. The record is from RNAcentral.